UACGUAGGGUGCAAGCGUUGUCCGGAAUUAUUGGGCGUAAAGAGCUCGUAGGCGGUCUGUCGCGUCGGAUGUGAAAACCCAGGGCUCAACCCUGGGCCUGCAUUCGAUACGGGCAGACUAGAGUUCGGUAGGGGAGACUGGAAUUCCUGGUGUAGCGGUGAAAUGCGCAGAUAUCAGGAGGAACACCGGUGGCGAAGGCGGGUCUCUGGGCCGAAACUGACGCUGAUGCGCGAAAGCCAGGGGAGCGAACGGG
Molecule: ribosomal RNA, 253 nt
Filed under: uncultured bacterium
Lineage: Bacteria
Description: partial 16S ribosomal RNA
Rfam family: Bacterial small subunit ribosomal RNA
Source: RNAcentral